Molecule: long non-coding RNA, 724 nt
Organism: Mangifera indica (mango)
Lineage: Eukaryota; Viridiplantae; Streptophyta; Magnoliopsida; Sapindales; Anacardiaceae
Exons: 2
Source: RefSeq, a predicted model, not a curated record
GCAAAUUCCGAAUUUACAGUAUUCUUCUACAACAAAUGAACUGAAAAUUUCAUUUUCAUUUUGAUCACAUCUGACUAGAAAAGCACCCUCUUCUACAUCAGAACACCGUUAUCCAUUUGCUGGAUUCUACCUAAUUUUCAAGGUCUCCUUUCUGAGACAUGAUGCGUUGGGGCUAGACAUUGAGAGAGUUGGAGUGGGAGCAGGGGCCACCAAGGAAGGAGAGACUGGGGAGUACUGAGUGACAGUGAAACCUGAGGGUGUUGGUGAUGUUGGGGUGGAGUUCCAAACGGCAGAGGAGCCACUGAGAGAUGCUGGUGAUGUAUCUGAACCUGGAACCUUUUCUUGAGCCGCAUGCAUGUUAACUUUUAUCCUGCAUAUACAAGAGCCACCAGGUUAGUGGGUUCAUGAGAGACGUUCCUGCAGGAUUCAAUUGCUUUUUUAAGGUUCUGUCAUCCUGCUUGGCAAUAGGAUGGAUGAAACCUUGCCAUGUCAUGCUUGCAAGAAAGACUCAAACUAAACUUGUAACAGAAGAAAGCUCCUCGGUGAAUCAGCACCAGCAGGCUACACAUAUAACAAUAUACUGCAGUAGAGCCAGAUGGAGAUGGAGAUUGGGGAAUAAUACUUUACCGGUUGUAGAUAUUGAUGUACUCGUUGGUUUCAUCAAGUAUCUCCACCUGAAAUAUAAGCAAACCUUUCAAUGCAGUUAUAGUCAAUUAUUCCAACA